This 466-nucleotide ribosomal RNA is filed under the name uncultured bacterium. RNAcentral describes it as "partial 16S ribosomal RNA". It matches the Rfam family "Bacterial small subunit ribosomal RNA", at positions 30 to 507 of the family's 1533-position model. The record is from RNAcentral.
CGAACGCUGGCGGCGUGCUUAACACAUGCAAGUCGAACGGAAAGGCCCUGCUUUUGUGGGGUGCUCGAGUGGCGAACGGGUGAGUAACACGUGAGUAACCUGCCCUUGACUUUGGGAUAACUUCAGGAAACUGGGGCUAAUACCGGAUAGGAGCUCCUGCUGCAUGGUGGGGGUUGGAAAGUUUCGGCGGUUGGGGAUGGACUCGCGGCUUAUCAGCUUGUUGGUGGGGUAGUGGCUUACCAAGGCUUUGACGGGUAGUCGGCCUGAGAGGGUGACCGGCCACAUUGGGACUGAGAUACGGCCCAGACUCCUACGGGAGGCAGCAGUGGGGAAUAUUGCACAAUGGGCGGAAGCCUGAUGCAGCAACGCCGCGUGCGGGAUGAUGGCCUUCGGGUUGUAAACCGCUUUCGCCUGUGACGAAGCGUGAGUGACGGUAAUGGGUAAAGAAGCACCGGCUAACUACGUG